RNAcentral lists this ribosomal RNA (510 nucleotides) under uncultured bacterium. RNAcentral's name for it is "partial 16S ribosomal RNA". It matches the Rfam family "Bacterial small subunit ribosomal RNA", at positions 28 to 507 of the family's 1533-position model. The record is from RNAcentral.
GACGAACGCUGGCGGCGUGCUUAACACAUGCAAGUCGAACGAAGAGCGAUGGAAGCUUGCUUCUAUCAAUCUUAGUGGCGAACGGGUGAGUAACGCGUAAUCAACCUGCCCUUCAGAGGGGGACAACAGUUGGAAACGACUGCUAAUACCGCAUACGAUCUAAUCUCGGCAUCGAGGAUAGAUGAAAGGUGGCCUCUACAUGUAAGCUAUCACUGAAGGAGGGGAUUGCGUCUGAUUAGCUAGUUGGAGGGGUAACGGCCCACCAAGGCGAUGAUCAGUAGCCGGUCUGAGAGGAUGAACGGCCACAUUGGGACUGAGACACGGCCCAGACUCCUACGGGAGGCAGCAGUGGGGAAUCUUCCGCAAUGGACGAAAGUCUGACGGAGCAACGCCGCGUGAGUGAUGACGGCCUUCGGGUUGUAAAGCUCUGUUAAUCGGGACGAAAGGCCUUCCUGCGAACAGUUAGAAGGAUUGACGGUACCGGAAUAGAAAGCCACGGCUAACUACGUG